Long non-coding RNA from Anneissia japonica, 798 nucleotides. RefSeq lists it as uncharacterized. The transcript is spliced from 2 exons. NCBI's taxonomy places the organism in Eukaryota, Metazoa, Echinodermata, Crinoidea, Comatulida, Comatulidae. The record is from RefSeq and is a predicted model, not a curated record.
GUUCAGUAGUGUUUUGCUGCAGUGACAUCUCGGUGCUGGCGACUCGCUGCUGGCGAUGACUCGCUGCUGGCGAAUCGAUCUGCGCAUGUGUUUAAAAUGGUAUUUACUUCCGAAAACAUGCCUGCUGCGCGCGCUCACUUUUCUCUGACUGAAACUCAGUUCCUGGCAAGUUGCAGAGAUCAUGUAAUUAAGGCAGCCUCCACAUCCAAUUCUUUAUUUGUACUCCAUGAAAUAGAGACAGAAUAUAUGAAGAACUUUGACUUGUAUCGAAUAGCCUUGCUUGAAGCUGUUGCAGCAUCCAAAAGAAAAUCUACAGCUACCUUCCUGUUUGGUAACAAAUCCAUGCUGCGUUCAUAACAAAAUGGAAGACUUGCAAGUCAUAAUGGCCGUACUCAACUGGUCGUUCUUCGUUAAACAACGCCCACUUGAGCAGUAGUAAUAUCCUACUUAACGAAGAAGACCUUUCAAAUAGAAAACUGGUAAAUACUCAACAAAACAAAAAGGCUACAUAGUUACCCCAAUGAUACAUCAUGCAUAAUCAAGGUUUUAAAAAAAAAAUGUUUUUCAUCCAGUUUUUAAAUUCAGUUAGCCUAUAAUUAUUUUUUGACUUCAUGUGCGUAAAUGUUAAAAUUUUUAAUUUCUGAAAUUUAAUCUAAAUUAUAUUAAUGCAGAGUUGUUGCUAAACCAAUUGGCCAUGUUUGUUUUGGUCACGCGAAUAAUGCUAAUUAAUGCACACUGGUUUACAUUAAUUUUAUAUCUAUUUUACAAACCAGUAAAAUGGAAAUAAUACUCAACGAA